UAAGGAAUAUUGGACAAUGGGCGAAAGCCUGAUCCAGCCAUGCCGCGUGCAGGAUGACUGCCCUAUGGGUUGUAAACUGCUUUUAUAUAGGAAGAAAAAUUUUCUCGUGAGAAAACUUGACGGUACUAUAAGAAUAAGGAUCGGCUAACUCCGUGCCAGCAGCCGCGGUAAUACGGAGGAUCCAAGCGUUAUCCGGAAUCAUUGGGUUUAAAGGGUCCGUAGGUGGACAAAUAAGUCAGAGGUGAAAUCCUGCAGCUCAACUGUAGAACUGCCUUUGAUACUGUUUGUCUUGAGUUAUUAUGAAGUGGUUAGAAUGUGUAGUGUAGCGGUGAAAUGCAUAGAUAUUACACAGAAUACCGAUUGCGAAGGCAGAUCACUAAUAAUUAACUGACACUGAGGGACGAAAGCGUGGGUAGCGAACAGG
Molecule: ribosomal RNA, 424 nt
Filed under: uncultured bacterium
Lineage: Bacteria
Description: bacterial SSU rRNA
Rfam family: Bacterial small subunit ribosomal RNA
Source: RNAcentral